ACAGUUCACUGACUCUGUGUGUUUGCAUAUGUGUCCUGCCUCUCUGCUCCCAGCCGUUAAGAGGCCAGUGUUGAUCAGUGGCUGUCCAGGCCUUUCAGAGACACAAUGAUGAUGCCACUGAUUCUACUGCUGGCCACCCUGGGGCUCCUUGUUCAGGGUUCAUCAGGACAAAUCAUCCUGACUCAGUCUCCUGGAUCUCAGUCUGUUGAUCCAGGACAGACUGUCUCCAUCAGAUGUAAAACCAGUUCAAGUGUUAGUAGCUGGCUUCACUGGUACCUUCAGAAACCUGGAGGAGCUCCUAAACUCCUGAUUUAUCAAGUUACAACCCGUCAGUCUGGAGUUUCAGAUCGUUUUAGUGGAAGUGGAUCUGGGACUGACUUCACUCUGACCAUCAGAGGAGUUCAGACUGAAGAUUCAGGAGUUUACUACUGUCAGCAGGGUUACAGCUUCCCGUUCACACAGUGAAAUAACGUCGUACAA
Non-coding RNA from Sebastes umbrosus (honeycomb rockfish), 480 nucleotides. The record is from the annotation of a RefSeq genome assembly. Lineage: Eukaryota; Metazoa; Chordata; Actinopteri; Perciformes; Sebastidae.